RNAcentral lists this ribosomal RNA (558 nucleotides) under uncultured Methylobacterium sp. RNAcentral describes it as "bacterial SSU rRNA". It matches the Rfam family "Bacterial small subunit ribosomal RNA", at positions 102 to 694 of the family's 1533-position model. Lineage: Bacteria; Pseudomonadati; Pseudomonadota; Alphaproteobacteria; Hyphomicrobiales; Methylobacteriaceae. The record is from RNAcentral.
ACGGGUGAGUAACGCGUGGGAACGUGCCCUUCGGUUCGGAAUAACUCAGGGAAACUUGAGCUAAUACCGGAUACGCCCUUAUGGGAAAAGGCUUGACUGCCGAAGGAUCGGCCCGCGUCUGAUUAGCUUGUUGGUGAGGUUACGGCUCACCAAGGCGACGAUCAGUAGCUGGUCUGAGAGGAUGAUCAGCCACACUGGGACUGAGACACGGCCCAGACUCCUACGGGAGGCAGCAGUGGGGAAUAUUGGACAAUGGGGGCAACCCUGAUCCAGCCAUGCCGCGUGAGUGAUGACGGCCUUAGGGUUGUAAAGCUCUUUUCUCCGGGACGAUAAUGACGGUACCGGAGGAAUAAGCCCCGGCUAACUUCGUGCCAGCAGCCGCGGUAAUACGAAGGGGGCUAGCGUUGCUCGGAAUCACUGGGCGUAAAGGGCGCGUAGGCGGCUGAUUUAGUCGAGGGUGAAAGCCCGUGGCUCAACCACGGAAUGGCCUUCGAUACUGGUUGGCUUGAGACCGGAAGAGGACAGCGGAACUGCGAGUGUAGAGGUGAAAUUCGUAGA